Molecule: long non-coding RNA, 753 nt
Filed under: Panax ginseng (ginseng)
Lineage: Eukaryota; Viridiplantae; Streptophyta; Magnoliopsida; Apiales; Araliaceae
Description: long non-coding RNA (PGIN_LNC002162)
Source: RNAcentral
CUGAACAAGCAGUGAGGUAGGAAUUUUCAUAUUGAUAUUUUUUGUUUUGAGUUUAUUAUCCAAUAUACUUGACAUAUGACGAGCUGCAUGUUAAAAUACCUCUUGUGAUAUCUGAUUAAAUUAAAUUGUUUUCAUGUGUAUCACACAUAUUUUUCCCCAUCAGAUUAACACUUUAAAAUUUUCUUCUGAAAUAUCUAUUUGGCUAUAUUGUGCCAUGUGUUUUUCAUUGCCCCUCGCCUGAUUCUUUAUUAAUCAAGUUAUAACCAUAUUCAAAAGAAUGAACAUCCAAACCUUUCUCUGGAGGAAUUGCCACUUGGUUAAUUUUAUGGCAUCCAAGUGUCUUGGGAUGUAUAGGUUUUUGUAAAGGUUCUACCUUGUUGAUACUUGAUGAGUAACUUUUGGUUGUCUUUUGUAGGGGCACCUUUCUUGAAGGUUAUUUGGGAUUGUGCUCAUAGAGUAGUUCCCACUCCUUGUGUAGUUGGGUCAACCUCAUUGACGUUUUUUUUCAUUCAAAUACUGAAUGAUGGUAACCAAACCUUCAUAUCAAGGUAACUAAACUGUCAUAUCAAAGUAAUCAAUCAAUCUCCACACUUUCAAUUUUUCCUUAGUGCAGUUGGUAACCAAACAUUUAGAUCAAGGUAAGCAAAUCUUCAUCUUAUGGUAACAAAACCAUCAUACCAAGGUAACCAAUUCACAUCCACACCUGCAGUUUUUUCAUAGUGCAAUUGGUAGCCAAACCUUCAAACCAAGGUA